CAGCAUCUUCCAUGGCUUUCUGGCAAAGGGAGGUGCAGCUACCACUACUACGAUUUACUAUUUGCGCGACGAAUAUUUUUUCGUCGCGCAAAAAGCACUAUUGCGAUGGAAAAAAAAUUCCGUCGCGCAAACAGCAGAAAACUAGCGCGACAAACAGUUUCGUCGCGCAAAGCAACUAUGCGCGACCUAAAUUAAUUUCGUCGCGCAAAGGUAGGGGAUAAAAACCCGGUUUUUUUUUUGGCGCCAAAAUCUUGCGCGACGACAAAAAUCGUCGCGCAUGACAAUAUUGUGCUACAAUUCAAAGCAUUCGUCGCGUAAAGAUGGAUAGAAAAUUGGCUCCUUUUUUUGGCGGUAAAAAAAUUUGCGCGACGAGAGUUUUCGUC
This 383-nucleotide long non-coding RNA is filed under the name Prunus persica (peach). RNAcentral's name for it is "long non-coding RNA (PPER_LNC006396)". The record is from RNAcentral. Lineage: Eukaryota; Viridiplantae; Streptophyta; Magnoliopsida; Rosales; Rosaceae.